This 117-nucleotide ribosomal RNA is filed under the name Desulfuromonas sp. The record is from RNAcentral. Lineage: Bacteria; Pseudomonadati; Thermodesulfobacteriota; Desulfuromonadia; Desulfuromonadales; Desulfuromonadaceae.
UUCGGUGGUUAUAGCGUAGGGGCCACACCUGUUCUCAUCCCGAACACAGAAGUUAAGUCCUACUGCGCCGAUGAUACUGCAUUGGAGACGAUGUGGGAAAGUAGGUCGCCGCCGAAA